ACAAGGUUUCCGUAGGUGAACCUGCGGAAGGAUCAUUAUUGAAAUAAACCUGAUGGGUUGUUGCUGGCUCUCUAGGGAGCAUGUGCACGCCUUGUCAUCUUUAUAUCUCCACCUGUGCACUUUUUGUAGGCCUUUCAGGUCUAUGUUGCUUCAUUUACCCCAAUGUAUGUUAAUAGAAUGUUGUGACUAUAUAAUAUAUACAACUUUCAGCAACGGAUCUCUUGGCUCUCGCAUCGAUGAAGAACGCAGCGAAAUGCGAUAAGUAAUGUGAAUUGCAGAAUUCAGUGAAUCAUCGAAUCUUUGAACGCACCUUGCGCUCCUUGGUAUUCCGAGGAGCAUGCCUGUUUGAGUGUCAUUAAUAUAUAUAUCAAACCCUCUCUUUGUUGAGUGGUUUGGAUGUGGGGGUUUGCUGGCCUCUUAAAUGGUUCAGCUCUCCUGAAAUGCAUUAGCAGAACAACCCUGUUCAUUGGUGUGAUAACUAUCUACGCUAUUGAAUGUGAAGGGAAGUUCAGCUUUCUAACUGUCUUUGGACAAUUCAUCAUUAAUGUGACCUCAAAUCAGGUAGGACUACCCCGCUGAACUUAAGCAUAUCAAUAAGCG
This 600-nucleotide ribosomal RNA is filed under the name Cortinarius phaeopygmaeus. RNAcentral's name for it is "eukaryotic LSU rRNA". The stretch from base 202 to 355 matches the Rfam family "5.8S ribosomal RNA". The record is from RNAcentral. Lineage: Eukaryota; Fungi; Basidiomycota; Agaricomycetes; Agaricales; Cortinariaceae.